AGAUUGAACGCUGGCGGCAGGCCUAACACAUGCAAGUCGAGCGGCAGCACGGGUACUUGUACCUGGUGGCGAGCGGCGGACGGGUGAGUAAUGCCUAGGAAUCUGCCUGGUAGUGGGGGAUAACGCUCGGAAACGGACGCUAAUACCGCAUACGUCCUACGGGAGAAAGCAGGGGACCUUCGGGCCUUGCGCUAUCAGAUGAGCCUAGGUCGGAUUAGCUAGUUGGUGAGGUAAUGGCUCACCAAGGCGACGAUCCGUAACUGGUCUGAGAGGAUGAUCAGUCACACUGGAACUGAGACACGGUCCAGACUCCUACGGGAGGCAGCAGGUGGGAAUAUUGGACAAGUGGGCGAAGCCUGAUCCAGCCAUGCCGCGUGUGUGAAGAAGGUCUUACGGAUUAGUUAAAGCUACUUUAAGGUUGGGAGGAAGGCAGUUAACCUAAUACGUAUCUUGUUUGACGUUACCGACAGAAUAAGCACCGCUAACUCUGUG
RNAcentral lists this ribosomal RNA (492 nucleotides) under uncultured soil bacterium. Its description in RNAcentral is "bacterial SSU rRNA". It matches the Rfam family "Bacterial small subunit ribosomal RNA", at positions 26 to 507 of the family's 1533-position model. The record is from RNAcentral.